This 465-nucleotide ribosomal RNA is filed under the name uncultured bacterium. RNAcentral describes it as "bacterial SSU rRNA". It matches the Rfam family "Bacterial small subunit ribosomal RNA", at positions 8 to 519 of the family's 1533-position model. The record is from RNAcentral.
AGAGUUUGAUCCUGGCUCAGAACGAACGCUGGCGGCAGGCCUAACACAUGCAAGUCGAGCGCUACCUUCGGGUGGAGCGGCGGACGGGUUAGUAACGCGUGGGAAUAUACCCAGUUCUAAGGAAUAGCCACUGGAAACGGUGAGUAAUACCUUAUACGCCCUUCGGGGGAAAGAUUUAUCGGAAUUGGAUUAGCCCGCGUUAGAUUAGAUAGUUGGUGGGGUAAUGGCCUACCAAGUCUACGAUCUAUAGCUGGUUUGAGAGGAUGAUCAGCAACACUGGGACUGAGACGCGGCCCAGACUCCUACGGGAGGCAGCAGUGGGGAAUCUUAGACAAUGGGCGAAAGCCUGAUCUAGCCAUGCCGCGUGAGUGAUGAAGGCCCUAGGGUCGUAAAGCUCUUUCAACUGUGAAGAUAAUGACGGUAGCAGUAGAAGAAACCCCGGCUAACUCCGUGCCAGCAGCCGCG